CAGCCGCCGCGGUAAUACGAAGGGGGCUAGCGUUGCUCGGAAUUACUGGGCAUAAAGGGAGCGUAGGCGGGUCGUUUAGUCAGAGGUGAAAUCCCGGGGCUCAACCUCGGAACUGCCUUUGAUACUGGCGACCUUGAGGAUGGGAGAGGUAAGCGGAACUCCGAGUGUAGAGGUGAAAUUCGUAGAUAUUCGGAAGAACACCAGUGGCGAAGGCGGCUUACUGGCCCAUUACUGACGCUGAGGCUCGAAAGCGUGGGGAGCAAACAGGAUUAGAUACCCGCGUAGUCCCUGUCUCUUAUAC
This 301-nucleotide ribosomal RNA is filed under the name uncultured bacterium. Its description in RNAcentral is "partial 16S ribosomal RNA". It matches the Rfam family "Bacterial small subunit ribosomal RNA", at positions 509 to 807 of the family's 1533-position model. The record is from RNAcentral.